UACGUAGGGGGCAAGCGUUGUCCGGAAUUAUUGGGCGUAAAGCGCACGUAGGUGGUCUGUUAUGUCGGAUGUGAAAGCCCUCGGCUCAACUGAGGAAGUGCAUCCGAAACUGGCAGGCUUGAGUAUGUAAGAGGGUCGCGGAAUUCCCGGUGUAGAGGUGAAAUUCGUAGAUAUCGGGAGGAACACCGGUGGCGAAGGCGGCGACCUGGGACAAUACUGACACUGAGGUGCGAAAGCGUGGGGAGCAAACAGG
RNAcentral lists this ribosomal RNA (253 nucleotides) under uncultured bacterium. RNAcentral describes it as "partial 16S ribosomal RNA". It matches the Rfam family "Bacterial small subunit ribosomal RNA", at positions 524 to 776 of the family's 1533-position model. The record is from RNAcentral.